UGAGCUGAAGACGCCUUCUUCCCUUUGAGGCC
This 32-nucleotide non-coding RNA is filed under the name Homo sapiens (human). The record is from RNAcentral. Lineage: Eukaryota; Metazoa; Chordata; Mammalia; Primates; Hominidae.